AGAGUUUGAUCCUGGCUCAGAAUCAACGCUGGCGGCGCGCUUAACACAUGCAAGUCGAACGAGAAAGUCCCGCAAGGGAUGAGUACAGUGGCGAACGGGUGAGUAACACGUGACUAACCUGCCCUCGAGUGGGGGAUAACUCCGGGAAACCGGGGCUAAUACCGCAUAACACCUUGGUCUGAAACGGCCGAUGGUCAAAGGGGUAAGACGCUCGAGGAGGGGGUCGCGGCUGAUUAGCUAGUUGGCGGGGUAACGGCCCACCAAGGCGAUGAUCAGUAGCCGGCCUGAGAGGGCGCACGGCCACACUGGAACUGAAACACGGUCCAGACUCCUACGGGAGGCAGCAGUGGGGAAUUUUGCGCAAUGGGGGAAACCCUGACGCAGCAACGCCGCGUGGAGGAUGAAGUCCCUUGGGAUGUAAACUCCUUUCGACCCGGACGAUCCUGACGGUACGGGUAUAAGAAGCCCCGGCUAACUACGUGCCAGCAGCCGCGGUAAAACGUAGGGGGCCAGCGUUGCUCGGAAUUACUGGGCGUAAAGGGUCCGUAGGCGGUGCGGCAAGUCGGAAGUGAAAUCUCCGGGCUUAACUCGGAGGCUGCUUCCGAAACUGCCGUGCUAGAGUGCGAGAGAGGCGAGUGGAAUUGCGGGUGUAGCGGUGAAAUGCGUAGAUAUCCGCAGGAACAUCCGAGGCGAAAGCGGCUCGCUGGAUCGCAACUGACGCUGAGGGACGAAAGCUAGGGGAGCAAACAGGAUUAGAUACCCUGGUAGUCCUAGCCCUAAACCAUCAGGACUUGGGGUUUGCCCUGUACGGGGCAAGUCCCGGAGCUAACGCGUUAAGUCCUGCG
RNAcentral lists this ribosomal RNA (845 nucleotides) under uncultured bacterium. RNAcentral describes it as "bacterial SSU rRNA". It matches the Rfam family "Bacterial small subunit ribosomal RNA", at positions 8 to 871 of the family's 1533-position model. The record is from RNAcentral.